UGGGGAAUAUUGCACAAUGGGCGGAAGCCUGAUGCAGCGACGCCGCGUGAGGGAUGACGGCCUUCGGGUUGUAAACCUCUUUCGCUAGGGAAGAAGCCCUUCGGGGUGACGGUACCUGGAUAAGAAGCACCGGCUAACUACGUGCCAGCAGCCGCGGUAAUACGUAGGGUGCGAGCGUUGUCCGGAAUUACUGGGCGUAAAGAGCUCGUAGGUGGUUUGUCGCGUCGUCUGUGAAAUUCCGGGGCUUAACUCCGGGCGUGCAGGCGAUACGGGCAAGCUGGAGUGCUGUAGGGGAGACUGGAAUUCCUGGUGUAGCGGUGGAAUGCGCAGAUAUCAGGAGGAACACCGAUGGCGAAGGCAGGUCUCUGGGCAGUUACUGACACUGAGGAGCGAAAGCAUGGGUAGCGAACAGGAUUAGAUACCCUGGUAGUCCAUGCCGUAAACGGUGGGCGCUAGGUGUGGGGAUUUUUCACGAUUUCCGUGCCGUAGCUAACGCAUUAAGCGCCCCGCCUGGGGAGUACCGNCGCAAGGCUA
This 534-nucleotide ribosomal RNA is filed under the name uncultured bacterium. RNAcentral's name for it is "bacterial SSU rRNA". It matches the Rfam family "Bacterial small subunit ribosomal RNA", at positions 355 to 896 of the family's 1533-position model. The record is from RNAcentral.